UGCCAGCCGCCGCGGUAAUACGUAAGGGGCAAGCGUUACCCGGAAUUAUUGGGCGUAAAGCGUCCGCAGGUGGUUUGGAAAGUCUGUUAUUAAAUCUCGUAGCUCAACUUCGAGGCUGUAAUGGAAACUCCCAAACUAGAGUAUGAGAGAGGUAUGUGGAAUGGUACAAGUAGGGGUAAAAUCCGUAGAUAUGUAUCGGAACACCAAAAGCGAAGGCAGCAUACUGGCUCAUUACUGACACUCAGGGACGAAAGCGUAGGUAGCAAAACGGAUUAGAUA
Molecule: ribosomal RNA, 279 nt
Filed under: uncultured bacterium
Lineage: Bacteria
Description: partial 16S ribosomal RNA
Rfam family: Bacterial small subunit ribosomal RNA
Source: RNAcentral